This 460-nucleotide ribosomal RNA is filed under the name uncultured bacterium. RNAcentral describes it as "bacterial SSU rRNA". It matches the Rfam family "Bacterial small subunit ribosomal RNA", at positions 343 to 796 of the family's 1533-position model. The record is from RNAcentral.
GGGAGGCAGCAGUGAGGAAUCUUGCACAAUGGGCGAAAGCCUGACGCAGCGACGCCGCGUGAGCGAUGAAGGCCUUCGGGUUGUAAAGCUCUGUGGGGAGGGACGAAUAAGGGCAAGCUAAUAUCUUGCUCGAUGACGGUACCUCCUUAGCAAGCACCGGCUAACUCUGUGCCAGCAGCCGCGGUAAGACAGAGGGUGCAAACGUUGUUCGGAAUCACUGGGCGUAAAGCGCGUGUAGGCGGCUAAGUAAGUCGGACGUGAAAGCCCACGGCUCAACCGUGGAAGUGCGCUCGAAACUGCAUAGCUCGAGUCUUGGAGAGGAAGGCGGAAUACUUGGUGUAGAGGUGAAAUUCGUAGAUAUCAGGUAGAACACCAGUGGCGAGGGCGGCCUUCUGGACAAUGACUGGCGCUGAGACGCGAAAGCGUGGGGAGCAAACAGGAUUAGAUACCCUUGUAGUCC